UGGGGAAUAUUGCACAAUGGGCGCAAGCCUGAUGCAGCCAUGCCGCGUGUGUGAAGAAGGCCUUCGGGUUGUAAAGCACUUUCAGCGGGGAGGAAGGCGAUAAGGUUAAUAACCUUGUCGAUUGACGUUACCCGCAGAAGAAGCACCGGCUAACUCCGUGCCAGCAGCCGCGGUAAUACGGAGGGUGCAAGCGUUAAUCGGAAUUACUGGGCGUAAAGCGCACGCAGGCGGUCUGUCAAGUCGGAUGUGAAAUCCCCGGGCUCAACCUGGCAACUGCCUUCGAAACUGGCAGGCUAGAGUCUUGUAGAGGGGGGUAGAAUUCCCGGUGUAGCGGUGAAAUGCGUAGAGAUCUGGAGGAAUACCGGUGGCGAAGGCGGCCCCCUGGACAAAGACUGACGCUCAGGAGCGAAAGCGUGGGGAGCAAACAGG
RNAcentral lists this ribosomal RNA (429 nucleotides) under Chloroflexota bacterium. Its description in RNAcentral is "Chloroflexi bacterium partial 16S ribosomal RNA". It matches the Rfam family "Bacterial small subunit ribosomal RNA", at positions 355 to 776 of the family's 1533-position model. The record is from RNAcentral. Lineage: Bacteria; Bacillati; Chloroflexota.